GGGGGGGCACCUUUUAUUUCUAUUUUUAAAGGGACAGGACACUAAUUCUACCCCACUUCAACCUUGAAUUCAGGGGGGUGGGGGGAAGGCGGCUGAGUUCCUUCCCCCACCUUCCAGCCCUGAGCCCUGAGAGGGGGAUUGAGCCUGAGAGAGGAGAAGGAGUUUCUUCUUCUUCGAAAACCCCCAUCCACGACUCCUACCCCCUCACCCCUCCAACUCGCCUCCCUCCCGAGCCCCCUCCACCCUCCUCCUCUUUGGCCGUGAGAGGAGGAGAGAAAGAAACCAAAAGCCUCUUAGCAACACAGACCCUUUGCUGCUGCUGUUGCUGCUGCUGCUGCUGUUGCUGCUGCUGCUACUGCUGCUGCUGCUACUGCUGCUGCUGCUACUGCUGCUGCUUGGCCCUGGCUGGAGACAUCUCACUACACCCAGGAGCAGCCACUUCCCCAGCUCUCCUCCUCCUCCUUCGCCUCCUCCUCCUCCACUCCCCCCCUUUAUUACCCUUUGUGUCAUCCUCCACAGCUCCAGGGAAGGCACUCAAAAGUGGGGGGCAGGAAAGACAAUUAUCAACUUUCCAGUUUUCUAUGGAUAUGAAGAUUUACUCCUAGUCAUCAGUGGGACCCCCAUGAAGUCAGCCAGAAAGCCUAUAUCCAACUUAUGUACCUUUGCAAACUUGUCUGGAUUUUGACUGUAUGUGCAAAACAGAUUGUACUUAGUGAUUCAUUAAACAUCUUUUGAUCAUCUGCUGUCUGCCAGGCACUGUGCUAGGCAUCUGAAAAACAAAGAUGGUCCCUGCAGUUUAAUGUGAAGAGCUAUCUUAAUUGUAUUCCACAAGUGUAUUGGUCGUAUCUUUGUUUUGGUGUUUCUACCUAAAUAAAUUUUAUAUUAACUAAAUGGAUACUGUUA
RNAcentral lists this long non-coding RNA (903 nucleotides) under Pan troglodytes (chimpanzee). RNAcentral's name for it is "long non-coding RNA NONPTRT010791". Lineage: Eukaryota; Metazoa; Chordata; Mammalia; Primates; Hominidae. The record is from RNAcentral.